GAUGAACGCUGGCGGCGUGCCUAAUACAUGCAAGUCGAGCGAACAGAUGAGGAGCUUGCUCCUCUGACGUUAGCGGCGGACGGGUGAGUAACACGUGGAUAACCUACCUAUAAGACUGGGAUAACUUCGGGAAACCGGAGCUAAUACCGGAUAAUAUAUUGAACCGCAUGGUUCAAUAGUGAAAGACGGUUUUGCUGUCACUUAUAGAAGGAUCCGCGCCGCAUUAGCUAGUUGGUAAGGUAACGGCUUACCAAGGCAACGAUGCGUAGCCGACCUGAGAGGGUGAUCGGCCACACUGGAACUGAGACACGGUCCAGACUCCUACGGGAGGCAGCAGUAGGGAAUCUUCCGCAAUGGGCGAAAGCCUGACGGAGCAACGCCGCGUGAGUGAUGAAGGUCUUCGGAUCGUAAAACUCUGUUAUUAGGGAAGAACAAAUGUGUAAGUAACUAUGCACGUCUUGACGGUACCUAAUCAGAAAGCCACGGCUAACUACGUG
This 497-nucleotide ribosomal RNA is filed under the name uncultured bacterium. RNAcentral's name for it is "partial 16S ribosomal RNA". It matches the Rfam family "Bacterial small subunit ribosomal RNA", at positions 28 to 507 of the family's 1533-position model. The record is from RNAcentral.